This 147-nucleotide unclassified non-coding RNA is filed under the name uncultured Sporidiobolales. RNAcentral's name for it is "sequence contains ITS1". Lineage: Eukaryota; Fungi; Basidiomycota; Microbotryomycetes; Sporidiobolales. The record is from RNAcentral.
AUGAAUAUUAGGGUGCUCCUCUUCAUCAGAGAGACCCGACCUUCAUUUCCAACCCUGUGAACACAUAUAACCUGAGGACUUGCGCAAGCGAGGACUCAUCAUUUAAAACUCUACCAGUUUAUGAAUGUAACAAACCAUAACAAAAAA